This 512-nucleotide ribosomal RNA is filed under the name uncultured bacterium. RNAcentral describes it as "partial 16S ribosomal RNA". It matches the Rfam family "Bacterial small subunit ribosomal RNA", at positions 28 to 507 of the family's 1533-position model. The record is from RNAcentral.
GAUGAACGCUGGCGGCGUGCCUAAUACAUGCAAGUCGAACGAAACUUCUUUAUCACCGAGUGCUUGCACUCACCGAUAAAGAGUUGAGUGGCGAACGGGUGAGUAACACGUGGGCAACCUGCCCAAAAGAGGGGGAUAACACUUGGAAACAGGUGCUAAUACCGCAUAACCAUAGUUACCGCAUGGUAACUAUGUAAAAGGUGGCUAUACUACCGCUUUUGGAUGGGCCCGCGGCGCAUUAGCUAGUUGGUAGGGUAAAGGCUUACCAAGGCAAUGAUGCGUAGCCGAAUUGAGAGGUUGAUCGGCCACAUUGGGACUGAGACACGGCCCAAACUCCUACGGGAGUCAGCAGUAGGGAAUCUUCCACAAUGGGCGAAAGCCUGAUGGAGCAACGCCGCGUGGGUGAAGAAGGUCUUCGGAUCGUAAAACCCUGUUGUUAGAGAAGAAAGUGCGUGAGAGUAACUGUUCACGUUUCGACGGUAUCUAACCAGAAAGCCACUGCUAACUACGUG